Adelges cooleyi (spruce gall adelgid) is the source of this 303-nucleotide long non-coding RNA. RefSeq lists it as uncharacterized. Lineage: Eukaryota; Metazoa; Arthropoda; Insecta; Hemiptera; Adelgidae. The transcript has 6 exons. The record is from RefSeq and is a predicted model, not a curated record.
UAAAAGAAACUAAGCCAACAGCAUCAACAGCUAAUGAAGAAAAUAAUCCAACGGACACUACAAUUACAGUUGCUGGUUUGAUCCAUAAUCCACAAACGAAAGUUGAAAACUCACAACCUUCACUAUUAUCAAAAUGUGGAAUAAUGUAGAAAACGUUCGGAUUGAAAUUGCAAUAAAGAUUGGAAAAACUCAAAACUACAAUGCAGAAAUAUGUAUCACAUUCUGAAGAUAAUUUAUUUUCCUAAUAUUAUUUCUAUAACUAAAUGUAUUUUUUUUUUAAUGUAUAACGUUCUCCGUCGUUAU